Molecule: long non-coding RNA, 4298 nt
Organism: Loxodonta africana (African savanna elephant)
Lineage: Eukaryota; Metazoa; Chordata; Mammalia; Proboscidea; Elephantidae
Exons: 3
Source: RefSeq, a predicted model, not a curated record
GCAAGGCUGCAUAGCAUUUAAAAUUAAAAACACCAUUUUCCUAAAUGUGUGUGUCAUUAUGAUGUUUACCAAUGUGCUUUUGCUAGUUAAAUUCCAGUUUCCUGUGUUUUUCACUCAAAGACCUGCUGGCAUCAUGAUACAAGCUCAGCAAUGUAGCCUAAAACUUGCCAUAGUUUUUCUUCUCUUUGGGUUCUCUUAUGAGUUGCUUCAUUACAGGCAGUCCCAGGGUUAUGAACGAGAUCCGACCCUACGUCUGUCCUUAAGUUGAAUUUGGAGGUUUCAAGCAUUUGGCAUAGAUCAUCUCAUUUGAUUCUAUUAUAACAGAUAGACCAAAAACAAACAACUGAUGACUGCAUAAAGGAUGGACCUGACUGAGAAGAGACUGAAGUAACUGUAGUAAUGCAGGAAACAAAACUGGACCAAAACAGAUAAGCUAGGAGAAGCAGACACAGCUAAUGAAAAUAGUAUAUUGUCAUCACAUGCUAAUUAGUUCAUUUCUGGCAAAUUUAAGCCCAUUAUAGGCUCUGACAUCAAAGAAGAAGAAUAAAGAAAUCUCUGCCAAAAUGAAAUCCGUAAUUGCUGUCUCCCUUCAUCUCUCUCACUCAGAAAAUCAUAGGACAUCAGAGGUAGAAAGAACCUUAGAGUUUACCUCAUCCAGAGAGGCUCAAAUUAGUGCACACAAAAAUCACUUAGAUUUUUAAAAGGUAGGUACCUGAGUCCCACCCUGGGAGAUUCCUAUUCAAGAGGUUUGGGUGGAGUCCAGGAAACCAGAUUUUUACCAAACUUUACUGCUGCUUUUGAUGCAUGUGAUCCAAUGACUGUAUUCUGAGAAUCACUGAUCUAGUGCAAGUCCCUCAAGUGUCAGAUAAGAAAACAGCCAGGAAGAUAAAAGCAGUGACUCUAAUCUCGAGCAGUUCCAGAAUUAAACCUUGAGCUCCUAAUCCCCAGUACUGGUAAUCUUUACACUAUACUGCUCUGACUUCCCAAACAACCCAGAAUCAACUUGAGUCCAGCAAGAUGAAACCAGAAUAACCAAUCAAUAGAGACACAUGGCCCAAUUCUGAAAGCAAGAAUUUUUCUUGGGUGUUUUGUUGGCCUCACAUAGCAGGUGACGUCACAUUCGCUGAAGGCCUUUCUCUAUAUUUGUUCACACUCUAGUAGCUUUUAAAAUUCAUUCUUCUUUCUAUGCACUGGGCAGCACUUUAUUGGUCCAUUCAAAUAAUGAGCCCAGUUAAACGCAAAAUGCCAAUUUCCAGGUAUUAGCCAUGUCAUAUAACUUAUAACCCAAGAGUCAGAAACCCCUGCGAAAUAUGUUGGAACACAACAUUUGACUAUUAGAGUUGUGGAGCUGAAGGAUGCUAAAACUCUACCACUAACUACUUAGCAAAUCACAAUCUCCUUAUGCCUGUUUCUUCAUACGUCAAAAAGCUAUAAUGAGAUUUGUCCCCUUCACCUCAGAGAGACGUAGGAAGCAGUUAGUCGUGAAACUGCUUUUACAAGGAUUAAAAGGACUACCUGAAAGUAAGGAAUGUGUGAAAUCCUUCUGUGUAUGCUUCAGCUGCCACUACUGAAUACCUGCAGAGUGAGGUAUAAAUCAACAGAAGCUUCUGGAAGAAAUAUGCUUUUGGCUGGGCUUUUAAAGAGGGGGCAGUGGUUGCUGAUGGAAUGCUAGUAUGGAUAAAAAAAAUAAGAUGGACAGAAGCAGGUCUACACGGAGCUAGCCUAAAGAGACUGCUGACAGAACAAAUUUUUUAUUUUUAUGGGCUCUUGACCUUCACAAGACAUAAUGUGCCAACAAAGCAAGACACAAAGGAUAAAAUUUUUAUUUUUCCAUUGAAUUCUGGAUACCUUCUAAAUGCUCUCACCUAGCUCUAAAAUAAUAUUUCAUUUUAAAACAUUGUAUAUACUUAAAAUUAGGCACAAAUUUAUUGUUAAGUAAGGUUUUUAAUAUGUGGCAUGUUGAUAGUAAAUGGAGUCUCUCAGCUUUUGCAUUUCUCGGCUCCAGCACUUCAAAUUAACUAACCUUAAGCUGCACUUGUGUUUUCACUCUGUAAAACACACAUGACUUGUUUCUCUCCUAUCUAAACAGACCAUCAUCACAUCAUCAUCAAAUAGCAUUUUAUUAAGCUCCACAUGUGCACAUCAUGUAACCCUGCACUAAGGAAACUGGGUAAAGAAAGGAUAAGUUCAUAUUGCGGCUACUUUCAGAAAGCAGGGAGAGCUGUGAAAGGCAUACACUUGUUAAGCUUUGGCAUGGUUUCAAUACGCUGAUGGAAACUGAAAUAGACCUUAAUGAUUAUCUAAUCUAAGUAUCUGUUAUAAAGUACAACUUCCUACUCAAAAUAAAACUUUCCCUAUAAUACUCUUGACAUAUGACCACCUUGUCUCUGUUUGGAAACAUCCAGUGAUGUGAUGCUCAGUAACUCAAAUGAUAGUUCCUACAUUUUUUAACAAUUUUAAUUAUUAGAGAGUUCUUCCUUUAUUUAUUUACCAGUUCUCUUCCAUGUGAUAUAAGUCAGCAAAAAGAACAAGGGUUUUAGAGUCAGACAGAAUUAAGUAGGAUUCCCAAUUCUGUCACUUACUAGUUGUAUGACCUCGAGUAUCUUCUUUAAAGUCUCUGAGCCUCAGUUUCCUCACCUAUAAAAAUGAGGAUAAUAUUCUUCAAAAAGAAGUUAAACAUAGAAUUACCAUAUGAUCCAACAAUUCCAUUCCGAGGUAUAUGCUCAAAAGACUUGAAAGCAGGGACUCAAACACACACUUGUACGCCAUUGUUCAUUGCAGCAUUAUUCACAAUAGACAAAAGGUAGAAAAAAAAUCAAGGAUCCAUCAACAGAUGAAUGGACAAAUAAAAUGUGGUAUAUACAUUUAUUUUUUAUAUACAUACAAUGAAAUACUCUUCAACCCUGAAGAGAAAUGAAGUUCUGAUACAUGCUACAACAUGGAUGAAUCUUAAAAACAUUAUGUUAGUUCAGUUAAAUAAGUCAGACACAAACGGACAAAUAUUGUAUGAUUCCAAUUGUACGAAAUAUCUAGAAUAGACAUGCAUAGAGUUUAUUAGUGGUUACAGGGGCUAGAAGAGGGGAAAAUGUGGAGACGUUGCUUAAAGGUACUGAGUUUUUGUUUGGGGAGAUGAAAAACUCUUGGAAAUAGAAAGUGGUGACAGUUGCAUAACAUGGUGAAUAUAAUUAAUGUCAUUAAAUUGUCACUUAAAAAUUAUUAAAAUGGCAAAAUUGUUGUUAUAUGUAUUUUACCACAAAGAAGACUUUUUCAAAAAUAUCUUCAGGGUUCAGGGGGAAAGAGGGAGGAAUGAAUAGGUGAAGCACAGGGCAUUUUAAGAGCAGUGAAAUUACUUUACAUGGAACUGUAAUGGUAGAUGCAUGACAUUGGGCAUUUGUUAAAAUCCAUAGAACUGUACAACACAGAGAAUGAGCCCUAACGUAAACUACAAAUUAUAGUUAGCCAUAAUAUAGCGAUAUUGGCUCAUUAAUUGAAACAAAUAUACCACAUGAAUGCAAAAUGCUAAUAGUAGGGGAAACUGUGAGGGAUGGAAGGAGGCAUAUAGAAAAUCCUUGUACUUUCUGUGUAAUUUUUCUGUAAACCUAAAGCAACUCUAAGAAAUAAAGUGUAUUUUUUAAAAUGAGGAUAAUAAACUCCUACCUCUAUUUAUUAUGUGAAUUAAGCUAUAUGUGAAAAGUACUUAGAAAUUUACCUGGCUCAUAACAGUUCCUCGAUGAAGAAAGUAUCAUUCUACCCAUUUGUUCUAGCACUAUCAUUUGCUGCUAAAUUUUUAAUCCCCCAUUUAUAUGCAUAUGAUAGUCCUUCGAAUAUGUGAUGCUGCUGAGCUUUUUCCUUCCUGACACUGCUCUUUAUCCUGCUAUCUAUCUCUAGUUCUCACAACAUUUUAUGGGGCCAUUUAAUCCCAAACCAUGACACUGUUGAGUGCCAUAGGGAUAGUCCAAUGUAAUGGGCUAUGGAUGAGUGACUGGGUGAUUCAAUGGUUGGGACAUCUUCCAACCCAGGGAUGUGAAACAAUCCAGAUCGACACCUUAAUCCAAACUACUACAAGAUGGAAGAAUGAAUCCAAAUAUAACAUUAAUCCUAACCAAUGUAAAUAGGCUAGAUUAUCUGGCUAAAAGACAAAUACCACUGAUUGGAUUUUAAAAUAAUAUACAACCCAAGUUAUUUGCAAAAGACACAUUUAAAGCUUAAAACACAAAAACUGAAUGUGAUAAAAGACAUAUUAAGAAAAUACUACUCAAAAUACUACUAAGGAUGUAUCAAUAUCAGACAAAAUAAAC